GAAUUAAGGGUCAAGGAAAAUAUUGUUGCUAAGAAGCUGGAGAGACUGAAGAUACUCAAGACUGAUGGGCCAGAACCUCUUGCAUCCAUACCUGUGACAAAGGAAAAAAAUGAAUUCAGGAUUAAAUGAAAGCAUAAGAAGCAAAGACAAGCUGGGACAAAAUGAAGUGGUUCAACCUACUGGCAA
Molecule: non-coding RNA, 186 nt
Organism: Taeniopygia guttata (zebra finch)
Lineage: Eukaryota; Metazoa; Chordata; Aves; Passeriformes; Estrildidae
Source: RefSeq, a predicted model, not a curated record